AUCUUGAAAACGUGGCCACCAAUGACGACUUUGCUAAAAUGUGGGACAAAUUCGCUCUAAGGAAAGAGAGAGAAUCCUUGAGGGAGGUCAUCUCAAAGGUUAACCUCAAAGAAAGGAAUAUCUGAAUAUUUCCCAACUUGACUAUUAUCCCCCCCAGUCCCCAAACUCCAAUAUUUUAGUUCAUUCUAAGAAAUUUGACAUUAUCAUCCAAACCCCCAUGUAAAUGUAUCUUUAAACUGCAUUGACUCCUUGUCCAAGUCCUGAAUCCACUAUAAGGCCAUAUGAACCACAUUCAAAGCACGAAAUUACCUUUCCUCGAAGCUCCUAUCUGAUCUGCCAGCUCAAUAGUGGUCUACUGAAACCAUACUCACCAUCUCAGGGGGUGGUCAGAUCAUCAACCACUGACCUCCACACCAUCCUCAAAACCAGCAGUCCUCUUUUGGAGGCAGAUUGGUCAGUGCUCCUGUAUGGCACCAACAUUCUGGAUUUUCAUCCAAUACUUCUGGACUAUGAGAACAUUCUUUGGACAAUAAAAUGAGGUAAAAUGGAAGCUGGCUACAGUCUCAGUUUUAUCCUCCAAGACAGUGUGAGGAUGUGUAACAACAAUACCUGUGGUUUAACUUGAUGAUCAGGGCCAGAUUACCGAAUGGGCACGCAGGGCACCUGCCUGUGGGCCCCGACCUCCAGGAAAUAUCAUCAUAACAUCAAAAACUAAAAGUAUAGUGGAUGUAUAUUAUGGUACGUGGACGUUUUACAAUUCGUGAGCUCGUUUCAUAGUUUGUAGCCAUGUUUUAUAUAAAUUUGUGCAUAUUUUGUAGAAAUUCCUGAGCAUUUAAACAUUUUUAGUGGG
This is a long non-coding RNA of Oncorhynchus gorbuscha (pink salmon), 850 nucleotides long. RefSeq lists it as uncharacterized. NCBI's taxonomy places the organism in Eukaryota, Metazoa, Chordata, Actinopteri, Salmoniformes, Salmonidae. The record is from RefSeq and is a predicted model, not a curated record. The transcript is spliced from 2 exons.